This is a long non-coding RNA of Lacerta agilis (Sand lizard), 519 nucleotides long. RefSeq lists it as uncharacterized. The record is from RefSeq and is a predicted model, not a curated record. The transcript has 3 exons. Lineage: Eukaryota; Metazoa; Chordata; Lepidosauria; Squamata; Lacertidae.
GUCUUCUUGAACCAUAUAAAUUAGCCUUGCCCUUCUGAGUUUUGAUAGACUGCUGUUCGUCAUCGAGCUGUUCAGCAACUCAUUAAGGUGGGGUCUGAAGAUUCUGUGAAGAUUUUGGAUAAAAAUGAACUUCAAAUGGAUCUGGCUGCUGGCCAUUCUCCUGAUCGUAGGAUUAGCUAGUGUGGCAGAUGCCAGGCGUGGCCGAGGUGGCCGAGGAGGUCGAGGUGGCCGAGGUGGCUUUCGCCGUGGCUUUCGCCGAGGUUGGCGCUGGGGCCGCCGGUGGGGCCGAGGCUGAGGAGCAAAUUAGAACGAAAUGAAGUCACAGACCAGGAACGACUGACAACGGCAUCCCUCCAAGACAAAAACAGAAAACAAAAUGCUAGCAUAGCAGUUCCUUUCUACAUUUCCUGCUCUCUACCCUGAUUUACUGAUUCUUUACUUGCCAGGGAGGUCAGUCCAUAUCUGUCUGCAUACAACAACUGCAAUUCAUCUCCUCCAAAGGCUAUAAACCAGGCAUAG